CCUACGGGGUGCAGCAGUGAGGAAUAUUGGUCAAUGGACGAGAGUCUGAACCAGCCAAGUAGCGUGAAGGAUGACUGCCCUAUGGGUUGUAAACUUCUUUUAUAUGGGAAUAAAACGUUCCACGUGUGGGAUUUUGUAUGUACCAUAUGAAUAAGGAUCGGCUAACUCCGUGCCAGCAGCCGCGGUAAUACGGAGGAUCCGAGCGUUAUCCGGAUUUAUUGGGUUUAAAGGGAGCGUAGGUGGAUUGUUAAGUCAGUUGUGAAAGUUUGUGGCUCAACCGUAAAAUUGCAGUUGAAACUGGCAGUCUUGAGUACAGUAGAGGUGGGCGGAAUGCGUGGUGUAGCGGUGAAAUGCUUAGAUAUCACGAAGAACUCCGAUUGCGAAGGCAGUUCACUGGACUGCAACUGACACUGAGGCUCGAAAGUGUGGGUAUCAAACAGGAUUAGAUACCCGGGUAGUC
RNAcentral lists this ribosomal RNA (460 nucleotides) under uncultured bacterium. RNAcentral's name for it is "partial 16S ribosomal RNA". It matches the Rfam family "Bacterial small subunit ribosomal RNA", at positions 338 to 795 of the family's 1533-position model. The record is from RNAcentral.